UAUUCUGUUCACGUUGACAGCAACUGUGAGCACUCUGCUUAAUGAUGAAUAGCAAGUGCUUGCUGUUGUUGUGAACGUGAAUCAGUCCC
This 89-nucleotide microRNA precursor is filed under the name Petromyzon marinus (sea lamprey). RNAcentral describes it as "miRNA (ENSPMAG00000011151.1)". Lineage: Eukaryota; Metazoa; Chordata; Hyperoartia; Petromyzontiformes; Petromyzontidae. The record is from RNAcentral.